Molecule: ribosomal RNA, 460 nt
Filed under: uncultured bacterium
Lineage: Bacteria
Description: partial 16S ribosomal RNA
Rfam family: Bacterial small subunit ribosomal RNA
Source: RNAcentral
CCUACGUGAGGCAGCAGUGAGGAAUAUUGGUCAAUGGACGCAAGUCUGAACCAGCCAUGCCGCGUGCAGGAAGACGGCUCUAUGAGUUGCAAACUGCUUUUGUACGAGGGUAAACGCAGAUACGCGUAUCUGUCUGAAAGUAUCGUACGAAUAAGGAUCGGCUAACUCCGUGCCAGCAGCCGCGGUAAUACGGAGGAUUCAAGCGUUAUCCGGAUUUAUUGGGUUUAAAGGGUGCGUAGGCGGUCGGAUAAGUUAGAGGUGAAAUCCCGAGGCUCAACUUCGGAAUUGCCUCUGAUACUGUUCGGCUAGAGAGUAGUUGCGGUAGGCGGAAUGUAUGGUGUAGCGGUGAAAUGCUUAGAGAUCAUACAGAACACCGAUUGCGAAGGCAGCUUACCAAGCUACGUCUGACGUUGAGGCACGAAAGCGUGGGGAGCAAACAGGAUUAGAUACCCCUGUAGUC